ACUACGGGUGGCAGCAGUGGGGAAUAUUGCACAAUGGGGGAAACCCUGAUGCAGCGACGCCGCGUGAGCGAAGAAGUAUUUCGGUAUGUAAAGCUCUAUCAGCAGGGAAGAAAAUGACGGUACCUGAGUAAGAAGCUCCGGCUAAAUACGUGCCAGCAGCCGCGGUAAUACGUAUGGAGCAAGCGUUAUCCGGAUUUACUGGGCGUAAAGGGAGCGUAGGCGGCCUGCCAAGUCUGAUGUGAAAUACCGGGGCUCAACCCCGGGGCUGCAUUGGAAACUGGCAGGCUGGAGUGCCGGAGAGGCAGGCGGAAUUCCGAGGGUAGCGGUGAAAUGCGUAGAUAGUAGGAGGAACACCGGCGGCGAAGGCGGCUUACUGGACUGUAACUGACGUUGAGGCUCGAAGGCGUGGGGAGCAAACAGGAUUAGAUACCCCAGUAGUC
Molecule: ribosomal RNA, 440 nt
Filed under: uncultured bacterium
Lineage: Bacteria
Description: partial 16S ribosomal RNA
Rfam family: Bacterial small subunit ribosomal RNA
Source: RNAcentral